This is a long non-coding RNA of Etheostoma spectabile (orangethroat darter), 334 nucleotides long. RefSeq lists it as uncharacterized. The transcript has 3 exons. The record is from RefSeq and is a predicted model, not a curated record. Lineage: Eukaryota; Metazoa; Chordata; Actinopteri; Perciformes; Percidae.
AAGAUUUUUCUUUAUUUGUUACCAAUACAUGUCCGUAAAAUUUCACAGGUGCUAAUAUUCUACGUUGAGUUACAUGUCAAAUUAUCACAAUUUCUUACCAAUAAAAGAUUUCAUAUGAGUCCAAUUUAAAAGAAGGUACGUGUAUACAAAAAUAGAAGUCAUGCAAAAAGCUAAUGAUGAAUAAUUUUAAUUAAGAAUUAUUGUUCACUAUUGCGGCUGCUUGUUUGAGAUAUACAGUAAGGCUCAGUACUACGGGUGUGAUCGCAGAAUAUAUUUUUGACCCUGUAUACAUGUUGUAUUUGAAGAUAUGUAUAUACACAACAUUAUGUAUAUG